This 532-nucleotide ribosomal RNA is filed under the name uncultured bacterium. RNAcentral's name for it is "bacterial SSU rRNA". It matches the Rfam family "Bacterial small subunit ribosomal RNA", at positions 539 to 1070 of the family's 1533-position model. The record is from RNAcentral.
CGUUGUCCGGAUUAUUGGGCGUAAAGAGCUCGUAGGCGGCUGGUCGCGUCUGUCGUGAAAACUUCCGGCUCAACCGGGGGCUUGCGGUGGGUACGGGCCGGCUAGAGUGCGGUAGGGGUAACUGGAACUCCUGGUGUAGCGGUGGAAUGCGCAGAUAUCAGGAAGAACACCGAUGGCGAAGGCAGGUUACUGGGCCGUUACUGACGCUGAGGAGCGAAAGCGUGGGGAGCGAACAGGAUUAGAUACCCUGGUAGUCCAUGCCGUAAACGUUGGGCACUAGGUGUGGGGGACAUUCCACGUUUUCCGCGCCGUAGCUAACGCAUUAAGUGCCCCGCCUGGGGAGUACGGCCGCAAGGCUAAAACUCAAAGAAAUUGACGGGGGCCCGCACAAGCGGCGGAGCAUGCGGAUUAAUUCGAUGCAACGCGAAGAACCUUACCAAGGCUUGACAUAUACUGGACUGCGUCAGAGAUGGCGUUUCCCUUCGGGGCUGGUAUACAGGUGGUGCAUGGUUGUCGUCAGCUCGUGUCGUGA